CAGUGGGAAAGAACAGUAAGCACCGUCUGAAGGAUACUUUGCGUCUUGAAUACAUUCCUUCUAUGCCAACAGCUGUGGGGGUCUGCUGUGCUCCACGGCUGAAGAGGCUGUUCUCCAUGAAAAGAGAGAAAAAAACAAGAAAAUAUGAAAUAGAGCAAACGGGGGACACUAGCAAAGGGCAAAGAAAAUCCUAGAAGGAUGGGGAGCAGAUCCCCAGAAUGGCAGCUGUGCUCCAGAUGUAACCAGCCCACAUUGUAGUAAUGUGACUCAAGACAUGAUGCCACCAUUGUACCUUCUUCUUUAACCUGAGGACACAGUGCUCAGUUUGGCCUGCUGUCAUAUGACCUUUGCAUUAUCAUAAUUUUGGACAUAAGCCCUAUGAUAUAAUGGACAUUGGAUUGGAAAUCAGGAAAACCAGAUCCUACCCACACCUCUACCACUGACUACUAAAUAGUAACUUGUCUGGACUAUUGCGGAGUCUCUUUCCUGCAUCUGCGCAGCUCCUGAUGUCUCAGAGGGUGAAGGAGGAACUGGGAAGAUUUCAAGCCAACUAUAGAGCUACCAACAAUUUCUGUGGAAGCAAUAAUUUCAUUUCCAUAAUUAGUUAAAAUUAACACCAGUACCGCUAAAGAACCAGAUUAUCAUGAUUAAAAGUCUAACACUUAUGUCCGCAUCACAGUAACAAAAUAUUUAAUAAGUAAAUAUAAUUAGGAAAAAAAGGAUUAUUUAAAAUUACAGCAUCUACUUUUUGAGAAUGCCAAUUAUUUUAAGCCAUUUUAAAACAUUAUUAAAACAUUGCAUUGUAAUUUAACAAUUAUAAUUUAGGUGUGUGCUACUAGGUAGUAAACUUGCAUGUAAAUUUAC
Molecule: long non-coding RNA, 864 nt
Filed under: Homo sapiens (human)
Lineage: Eukaryota; Metazoa; Chordata; Mammalia; Primates; Hominidae
Description: HSALNT0287147
Source: RNAcentral